Molecule: long non-coding RNA, 530 nt
Organism: Parus major (Great Tit)
Lineage: Eukaryota; Metazoa; Chordata; Aves; Passeriformes; Paridae
Exons: 4
Source: RefSeq, a predicted model, not a curated record
AGAAGUUGGGGUUGCAGUGACAAUAGCUGUCCUCCUAAAAUGGAUCAGAGCUUUCUGUAUAAAAAAAUAACAAAGAGGAAGCUGAGACUUUUCUGGUAGGUUUCCCAAGAUCUAGCCCGGAGGGAUGAAGGCAAAAUCAUGGCAGAUGGGAGCAGCAGCCAACAUCUUACCUAGGAUGUAGAAGAGGGUAAUUCCCACCAUGGAAUAAGUGAUGCCCAUGACAAGCAGUGGAAAGCAGUAGACCAGCACAAUCACAAUAACAUGAUACCUGCAACGAGAAGGUAUUAAGGUGACCUUGUACCUCUCCACACCUCAUCUCCAAGGACAGUAGAAGAUGGUAGAUAUUUGAGCUGAAGGAGGAUUUCUAAUGGCUACAAGCAACUGAAGGCUUGUUUAACCACUGAAAAGCAUUCUGGAGCCACGCAGACACUUUUUCAGUGGGGUGCUGUGCCAAUUUGCUUUGCUGUCUUUGGACAUUUAAUGUUCAGUCUGUCACCAGGCUUGAGCAGUGUGACUUCGUGCUGAAUAAA